UACAGAGGGGGCAAGCGUUGUUCGGAAUUACUGGGCGUAAAGGGCGCGUAGGCGGCCUUCUAAGUCGAACGUGAAAUCCCCGGGCUCAACCUGGGAACUGCAUCCGAUACUGGAUGGCUUGAAUUCGGGAGAGGGAUGCAGAAUUCCAGGUGUAGCGGUGAAAUGCGUAGAUAUUUGGAGGAAUACCGGUGGCGAAGGCGGCAUCCUGGACCGACAUUGACGCUGAGGAGCGAAAGCCAGGGGAGCAAACGGG
This 253-nucleotide ribosomal RNA is filed under the name uncultured bacterium. RNAcentral's name for it is "partial 16S ribosomal RNA". It matches the Rfam family "Bacterial small subunit ribosomal RNA", at positions 524 to 776 of the family's 1533-position model. The record is from RNAcentral.